Molecule: ribosomal RNA, 196 nt
Filed under: uncultured Bacillus sp.
Lineage: Bacteria; Bacillati; Bacillota; Bacilli; Caryophanales; Bacillaceae
Description: partial 16S ribosomal RNA
Rfam family: Bacterial small subunit ribosomal RNA
Source: RNAcentral
UCCUACGGGAGGCAGCAGUGGGGAAUCUUCCGCAAUGGACGAAAGUCUGACGGAGCAACGCCGCGUGAGUGAUGAAGGCUUUCGGGUCGUAAAACUCUGUUGUUAGGGAAGAACAAGUGCUAGUUGAAUAAGCUGGCACCUUGACGGUACCUAACCAGAAAGCCACGGCUAACUACGUGCCAGCAGCCGCGGUAAU